Molecule: ribosomal RNA, 301 nt
Filed under: uncultured bacterium
Lineage: Bacteria
Description: partial 16S ribosomal RNA
Rfam family: Bacterial small subunit ribosomal RNA
Source: RNAcentral
CAGCAGCCACGGUAAAACGGAGGAUCCAAGCGUUAUCCGGAAUCAUUGGGUUUAAAGGGUCCGUAGGCGGUCUUGUAAGUCAGUGGUGAAAGCCCAUCGCUCAACGGUGGAACGGCCAUUGAUACUGCAGGACUUGAAUUAUUGGGAAGUAACUAGAAUAUGUAGUGUAGCGGUGAAAUGCUUAGAGAUUACAUGGAAUACCAAUUGCGAAGGCAGGUUACUACCAAUUGAUUGACGCUGAUGGACGAAAGCGUGGGUAGCGAACAGGAUUAGAUACCCGGGUAGUCCCUGUCUCUUAUAU